Molecule: long non-coding RNA, 1043 nt
Filed under: Equus asinus (donkey)
Lineage: Eukaryota; Metazoa; Chordata; Mammalia; Perissodactyla; Equidae
Description: lncRNA (ENSEASG00005024977.1)
Source: RNAcentral
UCCCAAAAUAAACUCUUCCUGCUCAAGUUAGAGCCUUGGGCUUAAAGUCUCAGCGUCCUGGAACCAGAACAAUACAAACACGGGAUCAGCGGAAUGAGACAGGAGCAUUUGUGAGCGAUGCGAUCAUCGCUUUGUUAGUGCAGGCUCUGUGACACGCUGGGAAUGCGUUGAAGUUAGGGGGGAUUUUAGUCAAUAUAAGGGAAGACUAGGUGCCAUCUACUGGUGAAGAAACUGACAACUUUCCAUUUUUCCAACAAAACUUUGUGUCUUUUCAGACAGUGCCGUCAGCAGGAGCUGGUUGUAGAAUAUACACAACAUCGUUAUCCUGUGGUCAUGAUAAGUUGGCAAGGCUGUCCAAUCCAAUUGCCAGCCUGAUUUCCAAAAUUUCACCCUACAAAACUCAUGUGCAAGAUGGUAAAGAUUACAUAAAAGGAUGUCCACUAUGGCACUCUUCGCAAUUACUAGGAAAAUGAACCAAGUGUCCACUGAUGGGAGUCUGAUUAAUUAUAUUAUAUAUAUAUCUGCUACACAAUAAAAUGACACAACAAAGGAGCUUAUAGCCAUCAAAAAGACAGAAGUGGAGUUAUUGACCAGGAGCAGUAUGUUUGAGAAAUAUCUGGUGAAAUAGCCAUGAGAAAAUUUUCAAUGACAUUCACGGCUUGCCAUCUAUUUCCAUCGGACAGCACUUGUCCACACUCUUAUACUACAUUAUACUGUCUCUUCAUCCGGUAGCAAAGCCCUUCCUUGCUAAUGGUUGCAUUUUGCAUAGAACUAUUAGCAACAUGAAUGGACUGUCAGCAUGAAUGGUGUGGUGAAGAAUGUGGAAAGGAACAAAAGAAGAGAAACAGAGAUGUCAUCUGAAAUUAUCAGCAGCAAAAUCCUGAAGCAGCGAGAAAGGGGAUGUCACCAAAGCUCAUAAGUGAAGAGCAUGCCCAAGAAAGUGAGCUCCAUGAAUGCUGGGACCUCAUCUGUCCUGUGCCCCACUGUAUCUUUGGUGUCUAGAUUGGUGCCUGUAACACAGCAGGCCUCAAUAAAUGUUUUUU